RNAcentral lists this ribosomal RNA (515 nucleotides) under uncultured Haloquadratum sp. RNAcentral describes it as "bacterial SSU rRNA". It matches the Rfam family "Archaeal small subunit ribosomal RNA", at positions 1 to 511 of the family's 1478-position model. Lineage: Archaea; Methanobacteriati; Methanobacteriota; Halobacteria; Halobacteriales; Haloferacaceae. The record is from RNAcentral.
UAUUCUCGGUUGAUCCUGCCGGACGGCCAUUGCUAUCGGAGUCCGAUUUAGCCAUGCUAGUCGUGCGAGUUCAGACUCGCGGCACCGAGCUCAGUAACACGUGGCCAAACUACCCUACAGGAGACGGAUACCCUCGGGAAACUGAGGUCUAACCCGUCAUAUCGAUCUCAGGCUUGAAUCGCAGAGAUCACAAAACGCCCCGGCCCUCUAGGAUGUGGCUGCGGUUGAUUAGGUAGACGGUGGGGCAACGGCCCACCGUGCCCAUAAUCAGUACAGGUUGUGAGAGCAAGAGCCUGGAGACGGUAUCUGAGACAAGAUUCCGGGCCCUACGGGGCGCAGCAGGCGCGAAACCUUUACACUGCACGCCCGUGCGAUAAGGGGACUCCGAGUGCGAGGGCAUAUCGUCCUCGCUUUUGUGUAUCGUAGGGUGGUGCACCAACAAGGGCUGGGCAAGACCGGUGCCAGCCGCCGCGGUAAUACCGGCAGCCCAAGUGAUGGCCGAUCUUAUUGGGCCU